UCUGAAGCAAAAGUCAAGGUGGUCGUCAUUUGGAAUGAUGCAGAGAAGAUUAGCAUGGGCUCUGUGCAAGGAUGGCAUGCAAAUUCAUAAAGUGUUCCAUAUUUUU
Molecule: small nuclear RNA, 106 nt
Organism: Octopus sinensis (East Asian common octopus)
Lineage: Eukaryota; Metazoa; Mollusca; Cephalopoda; Octopoda; Octopodidae
Source: RefSeq, a predicted model, not a curated record